RNAcentral lists this transfer RNA (71 nucleotides) under Mullus surmuletus (striped red mullet). RNAcentral's name for it is "tRNA-Met". It matches the Rfam family "tRNA". From Rfam's summary of the family: Transfer RNA (tRNA) molecules are approximately 80 nucleotides in length. Their secondary structure includes four short double-helical elements and three loops (D, anti-codon, and T loops). Lineage: Eukaryota; Metazoa; Chordata; Actinopteri; Syngnathiformes; Mullidae. The record is from RNAcentral.
AGUAAGGUAAGCUAACGUUAAGCUCUUGGGCCCAUACCCCAAAUACGUGGGUUGAACUCCCACCUUUACUA